This 255-nucleotide ribosomal RNA is filed under the name uncultured bacterium. RNAcentral's name for it is "partial 16S ribosomal RNA". It matches the Rfam family "Bacterial small subunit ribosomal RNA", at positions 1238 to 1500 of the family's 1533-position model. The record is from RNAcentral.
UACAGCGGGAAGGCCACCUGGCGACAGGGAGCGGAACCCGAAAGCCUGUCUCAGUUCGGAUUGGAGUCUGNAACCCGACUCCAUGAAGCUGGAUUCGCUAGUAAUCGCGCAUCAGCCACGGCGCGGUGAAUACGUUCCCGGGCCUUGUACACACCGCCCGUCAAGCCAUGGAAGCCGGGGGUGCCUGAAGUGCGCUGCCGCAAGGAGCGCCCUAGGGUAAAACCGGUGACUGGGGCUAAGUCGUAACAAGGUAUC